RNAcentral lists this long non-coding RNA (612 nucleotides) under Marmota monax (woodchuck). The record is from RNAcentral. Lineage: Eukaryota; Metazoa; Chordata; Mammalia; Rodentia; Sciuridae.
AAUCAGCUACAGUAGGGAAAAGGAAGUCAAGGUGGGGUCCUUGGGCCAAGCAAAAAGAUGUUUCAGAGGAGGAAGUGUGAUCCAUUGUCACGUGCUGUAGACAAGUUAAACUAGGUGAAGAGGAACCACUGGACUUAGCCAUGGGGAAGGCACUAGUGAUCUUGAGAAAACAGAUUUUUGUAGAAUGCUGGGAACAAAACACUGAUUGGGAGAGAUGGGGAAAGGCAUGAGGAAUAUGGACAGCUGUUUUGAGACAGUCCCUGUGAAGGGGAGUAGAUGUGAAGGGGAGUAGAAGAAUGGGCUGUAACUGGAAUAUGGAUCGCGGGUUCUGGGAAAUUUAAAAGUCUUUAAGGUAGGAGAAAUAAUACAUGUCUGAAAAUUAAUGAGAAUGCUUCAGUAGAGAGCAAUUGCUGAGCCCUUGAGUAGACCAGAAAUAGGAUUGAAAAUACAGAGAGGCAUUGGUCAGAGGAGCCGCAACAUUUUAUAACAGAAAUCAAGGUUUUUGUUGGUAGAGAUUUUAAGUAGGAAAACUUUGAAGUAAUCAGAAAAUAUCUUCUACUUCCUCAGUAAAGGAAGAAGAAAGAAGGCCAACUGAAAAGUGAUGGGAAGGGG